This 1372-nucleotide ribosomal RNA is filed under the name uncultured bacterium. Its description in RNAcentral is "bacterial SSU rRNA". It matches the Rfam family "Bacterial small subunit ribosomal RNA". The record is from RNAcentral.
UUAGAGUUUGAUCCUGGCUCAGAACAAACGCUGGCGGCGUGGAUAAGACAUGCAAGUCGAACGAGAGAAUUGCUAGCUUGCUAAUAAUUCUCUAGUGGCGCACGGGUGAGUAACACGUGAGUAACCUGCCCCCGAGAGCGGGAUAGCCCUGGGAAACUGGGAUUAAUACCGCAUAGUAUCGAAAGAUUAAAGCAGCAAUGCGCUUGGGGAUGGGCUCGCGGCCUAUUAGUUAGUUGGUGAGGUAACGGCUCACCAAGGCGAUGACGGGUAGCCGGUCUGAGAGGAUGUCCGGCCACACUGGAACUGAGACACGGUCCAGACACCUACGGGUGGCAGCAGUCGAGAAUCAUUCACAAUGGGGGAAACCCUGAUGGUGUGACGCCGCGUGGGGGAAUGAAGGUCUUCGGAUUGUAAACCCCUGUCAUGUGGGAGCAAAUUAAAAAGAUAGUACCACAAGAGGAAGAGACGGCUAACUCUGUGCCAGCAGCCGCGGUAAUACAGAGGUCUCAAGCGUUGUUCGGAAUCACUGGGCGUAAAGCGUGCGUAGGCUGUUUCGUAAGUCGUGUGUGAAAGGCGCGGGCUCAACCCGCGGACGGCACAUGAUACUGCGAGACUAGAGUAAUGGAGGGGGAACCGGAAUUCUCGGUGUAGCAGUGAAAUGCGUAGAUAUCGAGAGGAACACUCGUGGCGAAGGCGGGUUCCUGGACAUUAACUGACGCUGAGGCACGAAGGCCAGGGGAGCGAAAGGGAUUAGAUACCCCUGUAGUCCUGGCAGUAAACGGUGCACGCUUGGUGUGCGGGGAAUCGACCCCCUGCGUGCCGGAGCUAACGCGUUAAGCGUGCCGCCUGGGGAGUACGGUCGCAAGAUUAAAACUCAAAGAAAUUGACGGGGACCCGCACAAGCGGUGGAGUAUGUGGCUUAAUUCGAUGCAACGCGAAGAACCUUACCUGGGCUUGACAUGUAAUGAACAACAUGUGAAAGCAUGCGACUCUUCGGAGGCGUUACACAGGUGCUGCAUGGCCGUCGUCAGCUCGUGUCGUGAGAUGUUUGGUUAAGUCCAGCAACGAGCGCAACCCCUGUUGCCAGUUACCAGCACGUGAAGGUGGGGACUCUAGAGAGACUGCCAGGGAUAACCUGGAGGAAGGUGGGGACGACGUCAAAUCAUCAUGCCCCUUAUGACCAGGGCUACACACGUGCUACAAUGGCGUAAACAGAGGGAAGCAGCCUCGUGAGAGUGAGCAAAUCCCAAAAAUAACGUCUCAGUUCGGAUUGUAGUCUGCAACUCGACUACAUGAAGCUGGAAUCGCUAGUAAUCGCGAAUCAGAAUGUCGCGGUGAAUACGUUCCCGGGUCUUGCACUCACCGCCCGUCA